GGUCCAUAGCUGAGCGGUAGAGCAUCUGCCUUGUGUGCAAAAGUCCCCAGGUUCAAUUCCUGACAUCGCCA
Non-coding RNA from Podarcis lilfordi (Lilford's wall lizard), 71 nucleotides. The record is from the annotation of a GenBank genome assembly. NCBI's taxonomy places the organism in Eukaryota, Metazoa, Chordata, Lepidosauria, Squamata, Lacertidae.